AUUGAACGCUGGCGGCAUGCUUUACACAUGCAAGUCGAACGGUAACAGGUCUUCGGAUGCUGACGAGUGGCGAACGGGUGAGUAAUGCAUCGGAACGUGCCCAGUCGUGGGGGAUAACGCAGCGAAAGCUGCGCUAAUACCGCAUACGAUCUAUGGAUGAAAGCGGGGGACCUUCGGGCCUCGCGCGAUUGGAGCGGCCGAUGUCAGAUUAGGUAGUUGGUGGGGUAAAGGCUCACCAAGCCAACGAUCUGUAGCUGGUCUGAGAGGACGACCAGCCACACUGGAACUGAGACACGGUCCAGACUCCUACGGGAGGCAGCAGUGGGGAAUUUUGGACAAUGGGCGAAAGCCUGAUCCAGCAAUGCCGCGUGCAGGAAGAAGGCCUUCGGGUUGUAAACUGCUUUUGUACGGAACGAAACGGUCUGGAUUAAUACUCUGGGCUAAUGACGGUAC
RNAcentral lists this ribosomal RNA (453 nucleotides) under uncultured bacterium. RNAcentral describes it as "bacterial SSU rRNA". It matches the Rfam family "Bacterial small subunit ribosomal RNA", at positions 30 to 478 of the family's 1533-position model. The record is from RNAcentral.